ACGCGUAGGAAUCUGCCUGAUAGUGGGGGACAACCUGGUGAAAACCAGGCUAAUACCGCAUACGCCCUACGGGGGAAAGGAUGGGAUCUUCGGACCAUUCGCUAUCAGAUGGGCCUGCGUCGGAUUAGCUAGUUGGUGAGGUAAUGGCUCACCAAGGCGACGAUCCGUAGCUGGUUUGAGAGAACGACCAGCCACACUGGGACUGAGACACGGCCCAGACUCCUACGGGAGGCAGCAGUGGGGAAUAUUGGACAAUGGGGGAAACCCUGAUCCAGCAAUACCGCGUGUGUGAAGAAGGCCUGAGGGUUGUAAAGCACUUUCAAUUGUGAAGAAAAGCAUAGGGUUAAUAGCCUUGUGUCUUGACGUUAACUUUAUAAUAAGCACCGGCUAACUCCAUGCCAGCAGCGGCGGUAAUACAGAGGGUGCAAGCGUUAAUCGGAGUUACUCGCGCGUAUAGCGCGCGUCCGCGGGUUGGCCCCCCAGAAGAGAAAGGGCCCGGGCUCAACCCUGCGAACUGCAUUUGAU
RNAcentral lists this ribosomal RNA (525 nucleotides) under uncultured bacterium. RNAcentral describes it as "bacterial SSU rRNA". It matches the Rfam family "Bacterial small subunit ribosomal RNA", at positions 113 to 631 of the family's 1533-position model. The record is from RNAcentral.